Molecule: long non-coding RNA, 366 nt
Organism: Xiphophorus hellerii (green swordtail)
Lineage: Eukaryota; Metazoa; Chordata; Actinopteri; Cyprinodontiformes; Poeciliidae
Exons: 2
Source: RefSeq, a predicted model, not a curated record
GAACUACCAGAGACUGUCAGGAUCUGCGGCUUCAGCAGUUCCUCUGGUUUCCUUCUAGGUGGCGUUCGAGAGCUCGCUGCCGUAUUCACACACCCUCUCCACAGGUGUGUUUCGGCACACCUGUGGAUCAUCAGCGGGAGCAUAUUAGGAGCGGGUUCCCGGCACUUCGUCGCCAAAGUGUUGUCGCCUUUGUGGCUCCCUGUUGUCUGGACACUCCAUGCGAAGUACGGGAUUUGCAGUUCCAUCCGCUGAGCUCCCUGACGAGUUACGCCCACCUACCAGCUGUUCGAUCACACCGGUCCGCUCCUGAUCAGACGCUCCUGCAUUACACACCAAUUGUCUUUUGUAAAUAAAUCUUUAAUCUGA